UGGAUUAAAUUAUUUCGUGGAUUGGAUUUCACUUGCCUGUCUAUGGUUUCCUUGUGUGUGCUUGGGAUAGGUGUCCUUUAUAAAUGUUUUGUCGUAUUAUUAUGUAUUCUCUUUUAG
RNAcentral lists this ribosomal RNA (117 nucleotides) under Triticum aestivum (bread wheat). RNAcentral's name for it is "partial small subunit ribosomal RNA". The record is from RNAcentral. Lineage: Eukaryota; Viridiplantae; Streptophyta; Magnoliopsida; Poales; Poaceae.